AAAGAGGUUGGCCCUUUGCCUACUCCCUCUGAGACGGAGCCUCACUUGCCCAAUGCUUUCUGCUUUUUUCUUCAGCAUGAACAGAUUUAUGGCCCCAGAGUAAAAUGGACAAAAAUCCAGAAUGCUUGGAUUGCAAUCUCAAGAUGGAUUAGGAAAGCAGGGAAGGGCAGAUACCACAGGAGGAGUAGGAGGAGGAAGAAAAUCUUGUCCAGUCUGUCCAGCACCACUUUGGCCUCCUUCUCCUCUUUGAACAGUGCGUGGACCUCUUCCUCAAUUGGGCCUCUUCCUCAGUUAAGCCGGCUAGAGAGAUCCCUCCCAUCAUCUUCUGAAGGUGGCAGCUAUUUGCGGACCCUGCCCAGACUCAGUAGACCCGGGCUCAAGGAGCUUCGCAGGGAAUUUGCAGCCCAUGAAAAUGUGAAAUUCAACUUGCAUAAAAAGCAGUUGCAAGAGUUGUGUGGGGGCCCCA
Hemicordylus capensis (graceful crag lizard) is the source of this 466-nucleotide long non-coding RNA. RefSeq lists it as uncharacterized. The transcript has 3 exons. The record is from RefSeq and is a predicted model, not a curated record. NCBI's taxonomy places the organism in Eukaryota, Metazoa, Chordata, Lepidosauria, Squamata, Cordylidae.